AACAGGAUUAGAUACCCUGGUAGUCACGCCCGUAAACGAUGAUCACUAGACGUUAAUCCCGCUUGCGGGAUUAGUGUCGUAGCUAACGCGUUAAGUGAUCCCGCCUGGGGAGUACGGUCGCAAGAUUAAAACUCAAAGAAAUUGACGGGGGUCCGCACAAGCGGUGGAACAUGUGGUUUAAUUCGACACUACGCGAGGAACCUUACCUAGGCUUGACAUGCACAUGACCGCCAUAGAAACAUGGCUUUCAAGGCGUAAGCCUUGACGCGUGCACAGGUGCUGCAUGGCUGUCGUCAGCUCGUGUCGUGAGAUGUUGGGUUAAGUCCUUUAACGAGCGCAACUCCUAUCGUCAGUUGCAACCCCGUGAGGGGGCACUCUGAUGAAACUGCCUGGGAAACCAGGAGGAAGGUGGGAAUGACGUCAAGUCCUCAUGGCCCUUAUGCCUAGGGCAACACACGUGUUACAAUGGCCGGUACAAAGGGUUGCAAUUCUGCAAAGAGGAGCCAAUCUCAAAAAGCCGGUCUAAGUUCGGAUUGAGGUCUGCAACUCGACCUCAUGAAGUUGAAAUCGCUAGUAAUCGCGUAUCAGAACGACGCGGUGAAUACGUUCUCGGACCUUGUACACACCGCCCGUCACGCCACGAAAGUUGUUUGUACCCGAAAUCGUUUUAGCUGACCUUUACAGGGGGCGGACGCUGAAGGUAUGGGGAAUGAUUGGGGUGAAGUCGUAACAAGGUAACC
Molecule: ribosomal RNA, 740 nt
Filed under: uncultured bacterium
Lineage: Bacteria
Description: bacterial SSU rRNA
Rfam family: Bacterial small subunit ribosomal RNA
Source: RNAcentral